GAACGGGUGAGUAACAUAUCGGAACGUAUCCAAUAAUGGGGGAUAACUAAUCGAAAGGUUGGCUAAUACCGCAUACGCCCUACGGGGGAAAGCAGGGGAUCGUCAAGACCUUGCGUUGAUGGAGCGGCCGAUAUCUGAUUAGCUAGUUGGUGGGGUAAAGGCCCACCAAGGCGACGAUCAGUAGCUGGUCUGAGAGGACGACCAGCCACACUGGAACUGAGACACGGUCCAGACUCCUACGGGAGGCAGCAGUGGGGAAUUUUGGACAAUGGGCGCAAGCCUGAUCCAGCCAUUCCGCGUGAGUGAAGAAGGCCUUCGGGUUGUAAAGCUCUUUCGCGAGGGAAGAAAACUUACUUUCUAAUAAAGAGUGAGGCUGACGGUACCUUGAUAAGAAGCACCGGCUAACUACGUGCCAGCAGCCGCGGUAAUACGUAGGGUGCGAGCGUUAAUCGGAAUUACUGGGCGUAAAGCGUGCGCAGGCGGUUUUGUAAGUCAGAUGUGAAAUCCCCGGGCUCAACCUGGGAACUGCGUUUGAAACUACAAGGCUAGAGUAUGGCAGAGGGGGGUAGAAUUCCACGUGUAGCAGUGAAAUGCGUAGAGAUGUGGAGGAAUACCAAUGGCGAAGGCAGCCCCCUGGGUCAAUACUGACGCUCAUGCACGAAAGCGUGGGGAGCAAACAGGAUUAGAUACCCUGGUAGUCCACGCCCUAAACGAUGUCUACUAGUUGUUGGGAGAGUAAAAUCUCUUAGUAACGCAGCUAACGCGUGAAG
Molecule: ribosomal RNA, 770 nt
Filed under: uncultured bacterium
Lineage: Bacteria
Description: bacterial SSU rRNA
Rfam family: Bacterial small subunit ribosomal RNA
Source: RNAcentral